GAUGCCGUUUUAAUUCACAUAUCAGCUCCUUUGCUCGCUCCCUGCGACCUAAUAUUUGAAGUCUAUGAACUGAAGUUCCACUAGUCUAGUAGAGAGCUUAGGAUAGAGACUCAAUCGCAAGAGGCUGUCCAACUUGAACUAUUCUCAUAUAGAAAGAAAGAAAGAAAGAAAGAAAGGUUGGUUCCAAAAGCUGAGUUCCGGGAUUACCAAGAAACAAUUUAGAAUAGAUUCAAAAGAAAUGGCUAGUCAACAGGAAAGAGAAAAGGAUGUGCAAAGCACAAAUCCCCAUGGUUUUAGAGAAAUGGUAGAAGAGCAGUAUAAAAAAAUCAAAGAGAAUGCAGAAACUUAUCCAUAUGUAUGGGCAUCAUAUAUAGUAGUAUAUGGUGGCUUUGCCUUGUGGACUACCUACAGGUGGAGAAAACUUAGAAAGACCGAGGACAGAGUACGAGCUCUUCAAGAAAGACUGCGCAAUCUUGUUGAUUCUCAAGACUCUGCAAUUUCAACUUCAACAACUCUUGAAAAGGCUCCCCCUUCCAUUGAUAAGUCCUCCCCCAAAUAGCUUUUCUGCUUUAAAAUGUUUGUUCUAAGAAAUUUCACCUCAAGUUCAGAAUAUGAAUCUUCUCUUCCAAAUAUCUUAUCUACUUCAACCUUUUCCUUUCAGAUACAAGGAAAGUGUUUAUGCUCUUAUCAAAUUUACAGCUUUUGGAUCUUCAUUUUAUAUUUUACAGAAUUUAUUAUCUCUCAAAUUUAGCACUAGAGCCAAAUUUGAUUAAAGACAUUAGUGAAUUCUUCAA
Hevea brasiliensis (rubber tree) is the source of this 794-nucleotide long non-coding RNA. RefSeq lists it as uncharacterized. The record is from RefSeq and is a predicted model, not a curated record. The transcript has 2 exons. NCBI's taxonomy places the organism in Eukaryota, Viridiplantae, Streptophyta, Magnoliopsida, Malpighiales, Euphorbiaceae.